RNAcentral lists this ribosomal RNA (429 nucleotides) under Fusobacteriota bacterium. RNAcentral describes it as "Fusobacteria bacterium partial 16S ribosomal RNA". It matches the Rfam family "Bacterial small subunit ribosomal RNA", at positions 355 to 776 of the family's 1533-position model. Lineage: Bacteria; Fusobacteriati; Fusobacteriota. The record is from RNAcentral.
UGGGGAAUCUUCCGCAAUGGACGAAAGUCUGACGGAGCAACGCCGCGUGAGUGAAGACGGCCUUCGGGUUGUAAAGCUCUGUUAUUCGGGAAGAACGAUUCGUUUGUGAACAAUGAACGGAAGUGACGGUACCGAAAGAGAAAGCCACGGCUAACUACGUGCCAGCAGCCGCGGUAAUACGUAGGUGGCAAGCGUUGUCCGGAAUUAUUGGGCGUAAAGAGCGCGUAGGCGGUAUGGUAAGUCUGUCUUAGAAGUGCGGGGCUUAACCCCGGGAGGGGACAGAGACUGUCAUACUGGAGUGUCGGAGAGGAAAGCGGAAUUCCUAGUGUAGCGGUGAAAUGCGUAGAGAGUAGGAAGAACACCGGUGGCGAAGGCGGCUUUCUGGACGAGCACUGACGCUGAGGCGCGAAAGCGUGGGGAGCGAACAGG